CCUGUGCAGGGGGUGUUGUCACCUUUCCCAGCAGGUUUCUCUCACCAAUCUGGGCUGUUGUCACCUGGGAGCAGGUGGCAGUGAGGGCCCCUCCCUGUCCAAGCUGUGUCACCAUUCCCAGUGGGAAUCAGGGAUCAUUUCCCGCUGGAUUUGGCUCCAUCCAGAGCCUCCAGCUGUGACUGCUGGUGCUGGUCCUGUCCCAGUUCUGUCCCAGUUCUGUCCCAGUUCUGUCCCAGUUCACCUCUCUGCACGUCCCCAUGCACACUGAGACAUUCCAGCCUGCCCUUGUAGCAGGAUAAGAUCCCCCAGGGUCCCUGCUGAUGUUUCCAAGCUUUUCCUCGCUGCUCCCCUCGCACCUUCCUGCUCCUUCUGCCCCAGUUCCUGCCAGGUCCAUCCCCCUGCCCUUUCCCACCCUCACCGGGGUGUUCCAGAGCUUCCCCUCGUGCCUGCACAGAGCCCCAGCGUUCCCUCACUGCUGUUCCCACCUGGGGGGUGUCUCUGGCUGACGUGUCCCACCUGUCCCUCCUGUCCCCGUUCUGGACAGCCCCACAUUCCCAUUUUUCCCGUUUUUCCUGCAGUACUGCCUGGAUAACACUCAGGACCUGUCCAGCACCCAGCCCCACAUUCCCAUUUUCCCGUUUUUCCCGCAGUACUGCCUGGAUAACACUCAGGACCUGUCCAGCACCCAGCUCUGCGGGAUCCUCGUCUCCUUCGCCCGCCUCAACUUCCAGCCCAGCUCCAGCGAGGAGUUCUUCUCCAUGCAGCCCCGGGCCCCCCACCUGCGCCAGCUGCUGUCCCCCGAGUUCCAGGCCCGGCUGCGAGGUGACAGCUCCCCGCGGGCAGAGAGCUCGUGGCUGAAGCUGCUGCACAUCAACGCCACAGCCAGGCUAGAGGUGCCAGGCUACGAGGGGCCCUUCCUGCCCCCCGAGCUGCUGGGGGGGCACGGGGACAGGGACAAGGACAAGGAGAAGGCCACCCCCCUGCAGCGGUGGCUGCGGGAGGCACUGCCGGGGGCACUGGGGGGCCCCGACCUCGUCAGAUGCCGAGGCGGUGCUGGACAGUGACAACAAACCUCUGCCCGUGAGGGAGUACGCUGCCCCCCACCUGUCCCACUCUGAGGGGACAAAGCCACUGCCACCGGGGGCCAGGAG
This 1151-nucleotide long non-coding RNA is filed under the name Geospiza fortis (medium ground-finch). RNAcentral's name for it is "lncRNA (ENSGFOG00000005376.1)". The record is from RNAcentral. Lineage: Eukaryota; Metazoa; Chordata; Aves; Passeriformes; Thraupidae.